CAAUGUGAGCUGCAACCCCGGGAACUGGGGCUAAUCCCUGAUAGACGAGAACUCCUGGAAUGGGUUCUCGUCUAAAGGGCAUCAAAAUCACGCUUUUUGAUGUCGCUCAAGGAUGGGGCCGCGGCCGAUCAGGCUGUUGGUGAGGCAACGGCUCACCAAACCUAUAACCGGUACGGGCCGUGGGAGCGGGAGCCCGGAGAUGGGAACUGAGACAAGGUCCCAGGCCCUACGGGGCGCAGCAGUCGCGAAAACUCGUCAAUGCACGAAAGUGUGAACGGGCUACCCCGAGUGCCGUCCGCUGAGGAUGGCUUUUCUCUGCUGUAAGGAGGCGGAGGAAUAAGGCGAGGGCAAGUCUGGUGUCAGCCGCCGCGGUAAUACCAGCUCGCCGAGUGGUGGGGAUGAUUAUUGGGCUUAAAGCGUCCGUAGCCGGCUUUUCAAGUCUCUCGUUAAAUCCAGCGAUUCAACCGUUGGACUGCGGGAGAUACUGUUAGGCUAGGGGGCGGGAGAAGCCGACGGUAUUCUCGGGGUAGGGGUAAAAUCCUAUAAUCCCGGGAAGACCACCAGUGGCGAAGGCGGUCGGCUAGCACGCGCUCGACGGUGAGGGACGAAAGCUGGGGGAGCGAACCGGAUUAGAUACCCGGGUAGUCCCAGCUGUAAACGAUGCGGGCUAGGUGUUGGAGCGGCUACGAGCCGCUUCAGUGCCGCAGGGAAGCCAUUAAGCCUGCCGCCUGGGGAGUACGGCCGCAAGGCUGAAACUUAAAGGAAUUGGCGGGGGAGCAC
RNAcentral lists this ribosomal RNA (780 nucleotides) under uncultured archaeon. RNAcentral's name for it is "bacterial SSU rRNA". It matches the Rfam family "Archaeal small subunit ribosomal RNA", at positions 114 to 879 of the family's 1478-position model. The record is from RNAcentral.